GACGAACGCUGGCGGCGUGCCUAACACAUGCAAGUCGAGCGGGGUUGAAGCGAGAGGUAACUCGAACUUCUACCUAGCGGCGGACGGGUGAGUAACGCGUGGGCAACCUGCCUCAAGGUCUGGGAUAACAGCCCGAAAGGGCUGCUAAUACCGGGUAUGCUUGUGGCCUCGCAUGGGGCUAUGAGCAAAGGGGAAACCCGCCUUGAGAUGGGCCCGCGUCCCAUCAGCUAGUUGGUGAGGUAACAGCUCACCAAGGCGACGACGGGUAGCCGGCCUGAGAGGGUGACCGGCCACACUGGGACUGAGACACGGCCCAGACUCCUACGGGGGCAGCAGUGGGGGAUCUUGCACAAUGGGCGAAAGCCUGAUGCAGCGACGCCGCGUGAGCGAAGAAGGCCUCGGGUUGUAAAGCUCUGUCUGGAGGGACGAAGGAAGUGACGGUACUCCCGGAGGAAGCCACGGCUAACUAACGUG
This 474-nucleotide ribosomal RNA is filed under the name uncultured bacterium. RNAcentral's name for it is "bacterial SSU rRNA". It matches the Rfam family "Bacterial small subunit ribosomal RNA", at positions 28 to 507 of the family's 1533-position model. The record is from RNAcentral.